RNAcentral lists this unclassified non-coding RNA (329 nucleotides) under soil metagenome. RNAcentral describes it as "partial contains 5.8S ribosomal RNA, internal transcribed spacer 2, and large subunit ribosomal RNA". The stretch from base 1 to 120 matches the Rfam family "5.8S ribosomal RNA", at positions 35 to 154 of the family's 154-position model. The record is from RNAcentral.
GAUGAAGAACGUAGCGAAAUGCGAUAAGUAAUGUGAAUUGCAGAAUUCAGUGAAUCAUCGAAUCUUUGAACGCACAUUGCGCCCCUUGGUAUUCCGAGGGGCAUGCCUGUUCGAGCGUCAUUAUAACCCUCAAGCUCAGCUUGGUGUUGGGGCCUGCUGCAGUGGCAGCCCUUAAAAUCAGUGGCGGCGCCAUCUGGCUCUAAGCGUAGUAAUUCUUCUCGCUAUGGAGUCCUGGUGGAUGCUUGCCAUCAACCCCCAAUUUUUCUAUGGUUGACCUCGGAUCAGGUAGGGAUACCCGCUGAACUUAAGCAUAUCAAUAAGCGGGAGGA